RNA transcript from Solanum dulcamara, 3684 nucleotides. RefSeq lists it as uncharacterized. Lineage: Eukaryota; Viridiplantae; Streptophyta; Magnoliopsida; Solanales; Solanaceae. The record is from RefSeq and is a predicted model, not a curated record. The transcript is spliced from 8 exons.
ACCAAAAGGAACCAUAACCGUUGCCUUUCAACCACCAUGACUCCGCCGAGUAUCUCCCUUAUCCCUUCCUCCUCCAUCACCACCACAAUCCCUCCGACGCCCCUGAAACCGCCGCCGUUGGUAGGAGGCCAACCACCGCCGCCGCUCGAAACAAAGCUUUUCAGCCGUAGAAACGCCGUCGUUUGGCUCUCACUUAUUGCCCCUCUCACUUAUCCUGCCUCCGCUCUCUCCUUCGGCAUAUCAGGACCAAAAGAAUGGCUAAGAGGUCAGAAGAAGAAGACUGCCAAAUACCUUUUGGCUCCAAUCGAUGCUUCUAGAAACAUCCUCCGCUAUGCUUAUCUCUUACUUACUAGAAAUGAAUCGGAAUUUGGUGAAAAGGAACUUGAAGAAGUUCAGAGCUUAUUGAGAUCUGCUGCAAGGGAUUGUGUGCCUCAAGAGAGGAGUUCCUUCGUUCAGUUUCAAUCAAACACGGGAGUUGAGGUCUGCACUUUCCAGUUGGUUGUGAAAAAUGCUUCUUCUUUGCUUGCUGACAAGGACCCAGUAAAGUUAGCUGCUGAAGCCAAACUUAUUGAUCUCAUAAGGUCUUUUGCUUCUCUCAGUGACAUGUCAAACGAAUUUGAUGUACAAGUUGCUUCUAAUAGACAAAAGGUUGCAAAUGCUCUCAUGGAUACAGUAACUUGUCUGGACAACUUUGAGCAAGGCGUCAAGGAAUGCCUUGAAGUUUGAUAAUCCUUAUUCAAGGCAAAGAAGGAACGGAUGGUUCAUCGGCAUUUGCCAAUUUGGCAGAUGCUUUUAUCCUUUACUUUUGGGGCGGCAAAAAGAAAAACUGCAAUAGUCUUGGAACACAUAGAUGCUCACUGUAGAAAGUCAUAGGUAUGCCCAAAACUUCCUGUCAUUGCAUACCUUUACUUUAUUUCAUUAAAAAGCAAUAGCCUCCCAAGUUGGCCCCAACACCACCUUUAUAAUUUUUUUUUAUUAAAUAGCAGUGAACUUAGGUAGUAGGGUUUGAUACAAUGAAGUGGGUGAGAACCAUGAGAUCUCAGGUUCAAAUCCCAGCAGAGACAAAAACACUAGGUGGGAUGGAGUUACAUGAUACAUAUUGCUGGUGGGAGGUGGCACGUAUCCUGUGGAAUUAGUCGAGGUAUGUGUAAGCUGGCCCACAUGGUUAUCAAAAAAAAUGUUAUUGGUGUUACCAUUACAUUAGAGAAUUAAAUUUCUUACUAAACUUGCUCAAAACUGCACUACUGUGAUAUGAUAGUCAUAUGAGCUGCAUUGAUCUCAUGGUGAGUAGAUUUUCAACGUGAGAUAGCGAAGUUGAUUUUUAUGGAGUUAAGGAAUUGAUUUUUUCUUGCUCUCUCUCUCUCUCUCUCUUGCUAAAGGAGAGGAAGGUGCAAUCAGAACUUAGGAAUGGUAUGCCUGUCAAUUUGUAAGUACUGAGAGAUUGGAUUAUGCUUAUACCUUGAGCUCAAUUCUCUUUUUUCUGUUUGGUGCUCUCUUUUUUCUGUUUUGGUGCUCUGAAAUUACAUUCCAAUAGAGUCUGCUCGGCGGUUCAGAAGUAAAAUCUGUAGAAAUUAGCUAUUUGCAUGUGGAUUUUACGCCAAGAAAUGCAGAAUUCUUGUCAUACUUGACAAUAUCCACACUUUAGCCUUUAGAGAUUUACUCUUCACCAAUAAGUGAUAAUCUAUACUUUGAAUCUCUUAACAGAUCCACUUUUCACAUGGGUUUUCAAAAUUCCCAAUUGAAUCUGACUUGUAUGAGAUACUCUUCUAAUGCUUAUUUGCUUUAUCAGGGAUGACUAAAUGCUUUUCAAGUGUAUUUUCAAUAAUAUGUAACUUGCCAACGCUAACAGGAUGAUACAGAACUUCUAGCAAUAGUUCAAAGAAUUGGAAUCACUAGUUGGUAACUGGCUCCAGUUUUAAGCGUUUUCAGUUCUAACUAUACUGCAGUAAUCUUGGAUUCAAGGAUGACAGUAGCUGCUAAGUUCCAUACUAUGCAAAGAACAUGCUUUUCAUGCAGACAAUAGUUCACUCUUACAGAACUUCUCUGUUUCUUCUUAGUCGCCAUUUGGUCAUACCACCUGUAUUGCUCAGAUCUUCCAAAAGUGCCGUUGCUCCUGACACCAUUUUGGAGGAUCUGACACGGUCUCAGUAGCAUUUUUGGGCGAUUCGAGCAACAUAGCAUACCACACAAAGGAUGUUUUCAUUUUGUGUUUUAUACAUAAUUCAGGCCUUAGAAGCAUGUGAAGGAACAAGGUCUGGGAUGAUUCUUGUAUGAGUCCUUUAAUCAAGCCCUUCUAUAAUAAGUGCUUUCAGGUAGCAGGUUUUGAUUAUCUACUACGAUUAUGUUUCUAAUAUUAAAUAUCUCUGCACCUAUCAGAGUCUAGUACUUACGGGCUCAAGUCAAUCUCUGCGUGAAAGCAAUCAUAGGGGAUUUGGGUUUGAGAUAAGUCAUCCUUAUCAUUUGUAGGUCAAAAAAGGAGCAAGUGAACUUGCCUUUGUUUGUAAAUAUGAAAAAGGGUAAGUAACCGCCAAUUGUGUGAAUCUCUUUAGGCGUUCAUGCCUUCUCCUGGUCGGUCCGACUCUUUUUGUUUGUAAAUAUGAAAAAGGGUAAGUAACCGCCAAGUGAACUCUUUUUGUUGUAUGAAUCUCUUUAUCCGAAGCCAGGCAAUCAGCAUUAAUUCCUUUAAGAAGAUUCCCUUUUCUGGAAAUAGAAAAAACUUUCUUUGUGAAUGGGAGAGAAUAGAAUAAGCUCUAACAGAAGGUAAAAUAGUACUAUCUUGUCGCUUUUUAACUCUUGCAAAAGUUGAAAGUUGGAGGAAUAUGAUGGGGCUGAAACAUGAUGAACUUGUUUAAGAAUUACCUAGAUCUUGAAAAGAUAAAAAGUAUACUAGUCAUAGCUUACAUUGUUGUAUAACUAAUGUGGUACGAUGACAGUAACAAUCAAUGAGGAGGUGCUUCUAAGCUCUAACAGCAAGUUAGAAGUUUAUUGGUGAACCAUUCUUAUAAUAUUCACAAAAUAGUCUAGUUUGGUGGUUCUCCAGAAGCCUGAAGCAAAUACAACCUACAACAUGGUGUUCCAUCAUCUGGGUGAGUUUGAAGUGACCUGGGCAAGUUGCGCAACUUGUUGAACAAAUUUAAUGGGUCAUUCAAUAACCCAAAAUGUGCAUCUGGGUCACCAAUUUGAGAAAGUUUAACAUCAGAAAAUCCUAGUGAUGGUAAUAAUUGAUCAGGAUAGUCGCUAUAGAAAUGGAAAUUGGAGCUGGACAUUGCGGUUGAUUGCUUGUUCAUGAAGUCCGCUAAGAGUACUGUAUGAGCAGAGCUUUAAGCCUGAUUCUUGAAGCUUUUCAAGCCAGUCCUUUUCUCUCAAGUCAGCUGCUACUCUGUUCAAUGAUUUUGCCAUCAUCAGUUGGUGCUUUUGUUCAUCUGUUGUUUCUGUUGCUGCCUCUACAAUAGUGGUUUUCAUCUGCAAGACCUCUGGAAAAUCAACCUCAAACAAGUUGCUGUCUUUCAAGCAACUCAAGCGAUAUGCCCUUGUAUCCAUACCUGCAGAAAAAGAAUAGACAUCAUUGGUUUGCUCUGUAACAUUUUUUUCUAAAUGGAAUCAAAUAGCUUCCGAGGGGCGAGCAAUGAAAGUGCUAGGUGAAAUAUGUGGAGUCUCUUGUGGUGGUCAAUCAUCUCCAUUCAG